Molecule: non-coding RNA, 72 nt
Organism: Aspergillus steynii IBT 23096
Lineage: Eukaryota; Fungi; Ascomycota; Eurotiomycetes; Eurotiales; Aspergillaceae
Source: the annotation of a RefSeq genome assembly
GGGCUUGUGGUUUAGUGGUAUAACGCCUGCUUAGCAUGCUGGAGGUCCGGGGUUCGAUUCCCCGCGAGUCCA